GACAUCUACCCCUCUUCAAAGAGGUUGCCAAAAAUGGACCAGUUACGAAAAAAAUGGUUGAGUGGAGCAAAGAACUGGGUCCAGUGUACUGUCUCCACAUUGUUUUCAGAACUACAAUCGUUUGUGAUGACUCAACAGUUAUCAAGGUAACUUCAGUUUAGAAUUGAAUUAUUAUUCUGAUUGAACUAUUAUUGUAUUAAAACAUAGGGGGUAUUCUGAGGAGAGU
Strongylocentrotus purpuratus (purple sea urchin) is the source of this 226-nucleotide long non-coding RNA. RefSeq lists it as uncharacterized. Lineage: Eukaryota; Metazoa; Echinodermata; Echinoidea; Camarodonta; Strongylocentrotidae. The transcript is spliced from 2 exons. The record is from RefSeq and is a predicted model, not a curated record.